UACAGAGGGUGCGAGCGUUGUCCGGAAUCACUGGGCGUAAAGGGCGCGUAGGUGGUUUGGUAAGUGUGUGGUGAAAGCCCGGGGCUCAACCCCGGGUCUGCCACGCAAACUGCUGAACUUGAGCAUACUAGAGGCAGGUUGAAUUCCGGGUGUAGCGGUGGAAUGCGUAGAGAUCCGGAAGAACACCGGUGGCGAAGGCGGCCUGCUGGGGUAGAGCUGACACUGAGGCGCGACAGCGUGGGGAGCAAACAGG
This 253-nucleotide unclassified non-coding RNA is filed under the name uncultured Gemmatimonadaceae bacterium. Its description in RNAcentral is "contains 16S-23S intergenic spacer region". It matches the Rfam family "Bacterial small subunit ribosomal RNA", at positions 524 to 776 of the family's 1533-position model. Lineage: Bacteria; Pseudomonadati; Gemmatimonadota; Gemmatimonadia; Gemmatimonadales; Gemmatimonadaceae. The record is from RNAcentral.